GUUAAAAAGCUCGUAGUUGGAUUUCUGUUGAAGUCAGCCGGUGCACACUUCGUGUGUUAUUUGGCCUGGCUUUGGCAUCCUCUGGGGGAACGUUUCUGGCCUUAAUUGGACAGGGCGAGAUUCCAGACUUUUACUUUGAGGAAAUUAGAGUGUUCACAGCAGGCAAGUGCUUUGAAUACAUUAGCAUGGAAUAAUAAUAUAGGACCUUCGUUCUAUUUUGUUGGUUUCUAGGACCUAGGUAAUGAUUAAUAGGGACAAUUGGGGGCAUUCGUAUUAACGCGUCAGAGGUGGAAUUCUUGGAUUGCGUUACGACGAACUACUGCGAAAGCAUUUGCCAAAGAUGUUUUCAUUGAUCAAGAACGAAAGUAUGGGGAUCGAAGACGCUUAGAUACCGUCGUAGUCUAUACCAUAAACUAUGCCAACUAGGGAUGUGACGGGUACUCUUUUAUGGCUCGUUGCGCACCUUAUGAGAAAUCAAAGUUUUUGGGUUCCGGGGGGAGUAUUGUCGCAAGGCCGAAACUUAAAGGAAUUGACGGAAGGGCACCACCAGGAGUGGAGCCUGCGGCUUAAUUUGACU
Molecule: ribosomal RNA, 577 nt
Filed under: uncultured marine eukaryote
Lineage: Eukaryota
Description: SSU rRNA
Rfam family: Eukaryotic small subunit ribosomal RNA
Source: RNAcentral